This 2923-nucleotide ribosomal RNA is filed under the name Staphylococcus aureus. RNAcentral describes it as "23S ribosomal RNA". It matches the Rfam family "Bacterial large subunit ribosomal RNA". Lineage: Bacteria; Bacillati; Bacillota; Bacilli; Caryophanales; Staphylococcaceae. The record is from RNAcentral.
GAUUAAGUUAUUAAGGGCGCACGGUGGAUGCCUUGGCACUAGAAGCCGAUGAAGGACGUUACUAACGACGAUAUGCUUUGGGGAGCUGUAAGUAAGCUUUGAUCCAGAGAUUUCCGAAUGGGGAAACCCAGCAUGAGUUAUGUCAUGUUAUCGAUAUGUGAAUACAUAGCAUAUCAGAAGGCACACCCGGAGAACUGAAACAUCUUAGUACCCGGAGGAAGAGAAAGAAAAUUCGAUUCCCUUAGUAGCGGCGAGCGAAACGGGAAGAGCCCAAACCAACAAGCUUGCUUGUUGGGGUUGUAGGACACUCUAUACGGAGUUACAAAGGACGACAUUAGACGAAUCAUCUGGAAAGAUGAAUCAAAGAAGGUAAUAAUCCUGUAGUCGAAAAUGUUGUCUCUCUUGAGUGGAUCCUGAGUACGACGGAGCACGUGAAAUUCCGUCGGAAUCUGGGAGGACCAUCUCCUAAGGCUAAAUACUCUCUAGUGACCGAUAGUGAACCAGUACCGUGAGGGAAAGGUGAAAAGCACCCCGGAAGGGGAGUGAAAUAGAACCUGAAACCGUGUGCUUACAAGUAGUCAGAGCCCGUUAAUGGGUGAUGGCGUGCCUUUUGUAGAAUGAACCGGCGAGUUACGAUUUGAUGCAAGGUUAAGCAGUAAAUGUGGAGCCGUAGCGAAAGCGAGUCUGAAUAGGGCGUUUAGUAUUUGGUCGUAGACCCGAAACCAGGUGAUCUACCCUUGGUCAGGUUGAAGUUCAGGUAACACUGAAUGGAGGACCGAACCGACUUACGUUGAAAAGUAAGCGGAUGAACUGAGGGUAGCGGAGAAAUUCCAAUCGAACCUGGAGAUAGCUGGUUCUCUCCGAAAUAGCUUUAGGGCUAGCCUCAAGUGAUGAUUAUUGGAGGUAGAGCACUGUUUGGACGAGGGGCCCCUCUCGGGUUACCGAAUUCAGACAAACUCCGAAUGCCAAUUAAUUUAACUUGGGAGUCAGAACAUGGGUGAUAAGGUCCGUGUUCGAAAGGGAAACAGCCCAGACCACCAGCUAAGGUCCCAAAAUAUAUGUUAAGUGGAAAAGGAUGUGGCGUUGCCCAGACAACUAGGAUGUUGGCUUAGAAGCAGCCAUCAUUUAAAGAGUGCGUAAUAGCUCACUAGUCGAGUGACACUGCGCCGAAAAUGUACCGGGGCUAAACAUAUUACCGAAGCUGUGGAUUGUCCUUUGGACAAUGGUAGGAGAGCGUUCUAAGGGCGUUGAAGCAUGAUCGUAAGGACAUGUGGAGCGCUUAGAAGUGAGAAUGCCGGUGUGAGUAGCGAAAGACGGGUGAGAAUCCCGUCCACCGAUUGACUAAGGUUUCCAGAGGAAGGCUCGUCCGCUCUGGGUUAGUCGGGUCCUAAGCUGAGGCCGACAGGCGUAGGCGAUGGAUAACAGGUUGAUAUUCCUGUACCACCUAUAAUCGUUUUAAUCGAUGGGGGGACGCAGUAGGAUAGGCGAAGCGUGCGAUUGGAUUGCACGUCUAAGCAGUAAGGCUGAGUAUUAGGCAAAUCCGGUACUCAUUAAGGCUGAGCUGUGAUGGGGAGAAGACAUUGUGUCUUCGAGUCGUUGAUUUCACACUGCCGAGAAAAGCCUCUAGAUAGAAAAUAGGUGCCCGUACCGCAAACCGACACAGGUAGUCAAGAUGAGAAUUCUAAGGUGAGCGAGCGAACUCUCGUUAAGGAACUCGGCAAAAUGACCCCGUAACUUCGGGAGAAGGGGUGCUCUUUAGGGUUAACGCCCAGAAGAGCCGCAGUGAAUAGGCCCAAGCGACUGUUUAUCAAAAACACAGGUCUCUGCUAAACCGUAAGGUGAUGUAUAGGGGCUGACGCCUGCCCGGUGCUGGAAGGUUAAGAGGAGUGGUUAGCUUCUGCGAAGCUACGAAUCGAAGCCCCAGUAAACGGCGGCCGUAACUAUAACGGUCCUAAGGUAGCGAAAUUCCUUGUCGGGUAAGUUCCGACCCGCACGAAAGGCGUAACGAUUUGGGCACUGUCUCAACGAGAGACUCGGUGAAAUCAUAGUACCUGUGAAGAUGCAGGUUACCCGCGACAGGACGGAAAGACCCCGUGGAGCUUUACUGUAGCCUGAUAUUGAAAUUCGGCACAGCUUGUACAGGAUAGGUAGGAGCCUUUGAAACGUGAGCGCUAGCUUACGUGGAGGCGCUGGUGGGAUACUACCCUAGCUGUGUUGGCUUUCUAACCCGCACCACUUAUCGUGGUGGGAGACAGUGUCAGGCGGGCAGUUUGACUGGGGCGGUCGCCUCCUAAAAGGUAACGGAGGCGCUCAAAGGUUCCCUCAGAAUGGUUGGAAAUCAUUCAUAGAGUGUAAAGGCAUAAGGGAGCUUGACUGCGAGACCUACAAGUCGAGCAGGGUCGAAAGACGGACUUAGUGAUCCGGUGGUUCCGCAUGGAAGGGCCAUCGCUCAACGGAUAAAAGCUACCCCGGGGAUAACAGGCUUAUCUCCCCCAAGAGUUCACAUCGACGGGGAGGUUUGGCACCUCGAUGUCGGCUCAUCGCAUCCUGGGGCUGUAGUCGGUCCCAAGGGUUGGGCUGUUCGCCCAUUAAAGCGGUACGCGAGCUGGGUUCAGAACGUCGUGAGACAGUUCGGUCCCUCUCCGUCGUGGGCGUAGGAAAUUUGAGAGGAGCUGUCCUUAGUACGAGAGGACCGGGAUGGACAUACCUCUGGUGUACCAGUUGUCGUGCCAACGGCAUAGCUGGGUAGCUAUGUGUGGACGGGAUAAGUGCUGAAAGCAUCUAAGCAUGAAGCCCCCCUCAAGAUGAGAUUUCCCAACUUCGGUUAUAAGAUCCCUCAAAGAUGAUGAGGUUAAUAGGUUCGAGGUGGAAGCAUGGUGACAUGUGGAGCUGACGAAUACUAAUCGAUCGAAGACUUAAUCAA